GCUUAUCCAGAUAAGUGCUUCGAGCGAGGCCCACGUUUCUUUAGCUGAAGGGGAUCUUGGCUGUUUCUUCUCAAACCUCCACCAGUGCUGCAAGUACAAUAGCAAGAAAUCAGCCGAACCUAGACAGCACGAGCAGGUAGGCAUUUCUUUCUCUCGCGGACCCAGAAGAAUGGAAGUUAAAAUUAUUUCCUUGAAAGACAACGCUUUAAACUAGACGAAACAUCACUAGUUCUCUGUGUUUUCAGAUGAUAGUAUCAAACGAACGACGUUCUUAGGCGCUAAUAUGAAACGUUUUGAAGAAACUCUUCGAUGAAUUGAGUCGAAAUCAAAAGACAAUGGGUAACAAGAACUGUACAGCUUGGAACUCGAUUCUCUUUCCCGAGAAUGAAGAAGAAGAGCGAUUAAAUGAAUGGUUGAAGAGUACUACCAGCUCGCCGAUGACUUGGGAGUACACACCAUCAUUCCCAUCUGGCGCUGACAUCUUACCAGUUCAACCUGUUUAUAAACCUGACGUACGAGAACUCCGAUUCAGACAUGAAAACGAGAAAGAUAAAUUGAGGAAAGACAGAGAUUCUAGAGGUAAAGGUAGUGAAAAUGAUGUCGAGGAAGUUGGUAAUGGGCAAACAUUGAUGAAUGGAAGUGAUACUAAUAGAAAUUUUACAAAGUUGGAGAAAAAGGAGAAUACAAAAACACACGACGAAAGAGAGACAGACACGUCGAGAAAACAGAAUCCCAAGAGACGCUUCCCAACAGGUCGAGUGUACAUCUCUAUAUCACAUGACCCCAUCACUAGAAGAAUCAAAGUGGCGGUCAUCAAAGCCAAGAAUCUAAGUUGCAAGCAAAUAGGACCGAAAGAUAAUUGUGGGAUAAACUGCGCAGCAUCUUACAUGGAUGUUUCUCUGUACGAGGGUGAUCAAGUAUGGCAAUCCUUCACUACAGCCAUCAAGAAAGGAUAUUCACAGGUCCUAUAUUACGAGAAUUUUGCCUUUGAUACAAACAAUCUGAACUUGAGAGAGGUAUCAUUAGUGAUAACAGCAAGACACAGCCAUAAACAACACUUCAUUAAACAUAGCCAUGAUAUUGGUAAAAUAAUACUUCAAGCACAAAUGAAUGAUGACACUAUGAUCGAUAGCCACCUUGUAGAGGCUGUAGUAAAGCCAGGAAUUACAUUGUAUAAGUGGCACACGUUAUGGAGUUGAAUGGUAAGAUAGCUAGAUACAGAGAUAUAGUACACCCAGGACAUACAUGAUAUAGGUGAUACACGUUAUGGAGUUGAAUAAUAACGUAGAUAAGAAAGAGAUAACCAAAAAGAACACAUAAAAGAAAAAAUAAAUAAAACAACUCAA
This 1346-nucleotide unclassified non-coding RNA is filed under the name Actinia tenebrosa (Australian red waratah sea anemone). RNAcentral's name for it is "uncharacterized LOC116298396, transcript variant X4". Lineage: Eukaryota; Metazoa; Cnidaria; Anthozoa; Actiniaria; Actiniidae. The record is from RNAcentral.